GGGAGAGCAAGCAAAAGUUUUGAGCCUGCACAUGCACAAAGCAAGCAUCACAGAGAGAAUGCGAAAGCGUCGCCCCACGCAGCUCUCCCUGCAGAAGCUCCCAUCAGGGCCCGGUCGCUGCCGCGAGCGGACAGCUCAGUGAGGCAGAAGCAAGAGCUAUGCUUCACACUCACAGAGCCGUACCUCCUCACAGUACAAUCUAUUUAAGCUUUGUUGCUCAUAACCAAGCACAGCUUCAGAUGGCACAGCUGCACGGCCCCCGCACUGUAAAGUCAUUGUUCUGCUGUGUGAACUCUCGCCUCCUUCCCUGACCAGGAAGAAAGAGGGGCGGACAAGAAUCCCCCCAGACGAGUCUUGGUUCAUUAAGGGUGAGGAGGGCUGGGGCUCAUUAGCAGCCUUGGGAACCAAGCGUGCUUGAACCUCCUGUACUUCGUGGCAAUUAGAGCGCGGGGCGUGGCAACAGGAAUACUACCUAUAACCCCAACAGGAACCACAAUAAAAUGGGAGAGUUGGCAGGCAUAGAGGCAAGGUUCAGAGUGCCCGUCAGCAUCCUGCACUGCUUGCUUGUGGGAAGAGGAGCAAGGCGUCCGUUCCAGAAUGCGCUUAGAAAUUAGAAUACU
RNAcentral lists this long non-coding RNA (620 nucleotides) under Gallus gallus (chicken). RNAcentral's name for it is "long non-coding RNA NONGGAT001065". Lineage: Eukaryota; Metazoa; Chordata; Aves; Galliformes; Phasianidae. The record is from RNAcentral.